RNAcentral lists this ribosomal RNA (495 nucleotides) under uncultured bacterium. RNAcentral's name for it is "partial 16S ribosomal RNA". It matches the Rfam family "Bacterial small subunit ribosomal RNA", at positions 28 to 507 of the family's 1533-position model. The record is from RNAcentral.
GACGAACGCUGGCGGCGUGCCUAAUACAUGCAAGUAGAACGCUGAAGGAGGAGCUUGCUCUUCUGGAUGAGUUGCGAACGGGUGAGUAACGCGUAGGUAACCUGCCUGGUAGCGGGGGAUAACUAUUGGAAACGAUAGCUAAUACCGCAUAACAGUAGAUGUUGCAUGACAUUUGCUUAAAAGGUGCAAUUGCACCACUACCAGAUGGACCUGCGUUGUAUUAGCUAGUUGGUGGGGUAACGGCUCACCAAGGCGACGAUACAUAGCCGACCUGAGAGGGUGAUCGGCCACACUGGGACUGAGACACGGCCCAGACUCCUACGGGAGGCAGCAGUAGGGAAUCUUCGGCAAUGGACGGAAGUCUGACCGAGCAACGCCGCGUGAGUGAAGAAGGUUUUCGGAUCGUAAAGCUCUGUUGUAAGAGAAGAACGAGUGUGAGAGUGGGAAGUUCACACUGUGACGGUAGCUUACCAGAAAGGGACGGCUAACUACGUG